GCCGGCGCGCAGCCCAAAUCCGAGCUCCCCUGCCUCCGCUCUUCCCUCCCCUCCGGCCAGAUCCGCCUCUCGCGUCCCCGGUAGCUCAUCCCCAACCCCUUCCCACGGCUAGGAUUUCGAGGGUGGCGUUCCCACCAAUUCCGGCGCGGCGGCGGCGACUGUGCUCUCCCUCAAUCGAGGCGUGCGCAACCACCUCGCGACGCGACGCGUGCCACGGCGCGCGCGUACGUGUGCGUCGCUGCACUAAACAAAAGGGUCGUCCCUCCCAUCCCAUCGCCGCCGACAGAGCACACCCACCUCCACCUCCGCCUCCAUUCAUUCGUGGAGAACCGAUUCCCGGCGCCACCGGUCGACUCGCCGUCACUUUCCCUAAGGAGGCUCUAGUGAGGAAGCGAGCGAGAGAGAGAGAGAGAGAGAGAGAGAGAGAGAGAGAGAGAGACGGGCCGGAUGCCUCGAUUCGUUGGCCGGAGAUCUGACGGACGGAUGUUGGUGCAGGUACCGGAUGCCGGAGGGGUCGAUCCCUAAGGAGGCGGCGUACCAGAUCAUCAGCGACGAGCUGAUGCUGGACGGGAACCCGUGGCUGAACCUGGCGUCCUUCGUCACCACCUGGAUGGAGCCCGAGUGCGGCAAGCUCAUGAUGGACUCCAUCAACAAGAACUACGUCGACAUGGACGAGUACCCAGUCACCACCGAGCUCCAGGCAUUAUGACAUGUAUCUCUUGUGCCACGCUUCGCUGACCUACUGUCUGGUGCUCGGCCUCGACUACAAACCGACGAGGUGCCACCGGACGCAAGGGUGAAGCAUGCGCCUCUUUGCUGAAGCUGCUCGCUCUACACCAGUUUCUGUUGCUUCCGUUGCUGCGAAUGUGGUUAAGAAGGCAAGUUGUUGCAUCUGGAGCACAUCAGAGGGAACAAUGAAGUUUGUAGUUUGUACCACUUGGUUCUUACCAUUAGGACAGUACCAGAUGUGCUAAUACAUGCUGCUUUAAAUGUUGUAUUCCUGAUGUAGUAGAUGUUCUUAGUUUGAACUUCAGUUGAACAAUGUGAUGUAGAAGUUAAGGCAAAUUGUGUAGAUGAUAAUUUUCCUGUGUAAUUAAAUGCUG
Molecule: long non-coding RNA, 1103 nt
Organism: Triticum dicoccoides
Lineage: Eukaryota; Viridiplantae; Streptophyta; Magnoliopsida; Poales; Poaceae
Exons: 4
Source: RefSeq, a predicted model, not a curated record